RNAcentral lists this ribosomal RNA (508 nucleotides) under uncultured Comamonadaceae bacterium. RNAcentral's name for it is "bacterial SSU rRNA". It matches the Rfam family "Bacterial small subunit ribosomal RNA", at positions 1 to 507 of the family's 1533-position model. Lineage: Bacteria; Pseudomonadati; Pseudomonadota; Betaproteobacteria; Burkholderiales; Comamonadaceae. The record is from RNAcentral.
CGUAGAGUUUGAUCCUGGCUCAGAUUGAACGCUGGCGGAAUGCUUUACACAUGCAAGUCGAACGGCAGCACGGGGCGAACCCUGGUGGCGAGUGGCGAACGGGUGAGUAAUACAUCGGAACGUGCCCAUGUCGUGGGGGAUAACGUAGCGAAAGCUACGCUAAUACCGCAUACGAUCUACGGAUGAAAGCGGGGGAUCGCAAGACCUCGCGCGAUUGGAGCGGCCGAUGGCAGAUUAGGUAGUUGGUGGGGUAAAGGCUCACCAAGCCAACGAUCUGUAGCUGGUCUGAGAGGACGACCAGCCACACUGGGACUGAGACACGGCCCAGACUCCUACGGGAGGCAGCAGUGGGGAAUUUUGGACAAUGGGCGAAAGCCUGAUCCAGCCAUUCCGCGUGCAGGAUGAAGGCCUUCGGGUUGUAAACUGCUUUUGUACGGAACGAAAAGCCUUCUUCUAAUACAGGAGGGUCAUGACGGUACCGUAAGAAUAAGCACCGGCUAACUACGUG